This 510-nucleotide ribosomal RNA is filed under the name uncultured bacterium. Its description in RNAcentral is "partial 16S ribosomal RNA". It matches the Rfam family "Bacterial small subunit ribosomal RNA", at positions 28 to 507 of the family's 1533-position model. The record is from RNAcentral.
GACGAACGCUGGCGGCGUGCUUAACACAUGCAAGUCGAACGAAGAGCGAUGGAAGCUUGCUUCUAUCAAUCUUAGUGGCGAACGGGUGAGUAACGCGUAAUCAACCUGCCCUUCAGAGGGGGACAACAGUUGGAAACGACUGCUAAUACCGCAUACGAUCUAAUCUCGGCAUCGAGGAUAGAUGAAAGGUGGCCUCUACAUGUAAGCUAUCACUGAAGGAGGGGAGUGCGUCUGAUUAGCUAGUUGGAGGGGUAACGGCCCACCAAGGCGAUGAUCAGUAGCCGGUCUGAGAGGAUGAACGGCCACAUUGGGACUGAGACACGGCCCAGACUCCUACGGGAGGCAGCAGUGGGGAAUCUUCCGCAAUGGACGAAAGUCUGACGAAGCAACGCCGCGUGAGUGAUGACGGCCUUCGGGUUGUAAAGCUCUGUUAAUCGGGACGAAAGGCCUUCUUGCGAAUAGUGAGAAGGAUUGACGGUACCGGAAUAGAAAGCCACGGCUAACUACGUG